AUUGAACGCUGGCGGCAUGCUUUACACAUGCAAGUCGAACGGUAACAGGCCGCAAGGUGCUGACGAGUGGCGGACGGGUGAGUAAUGCAUCGGAACGUGCCCAAUCGUGGGGGAUAACUACUCGAAAGAGUAGCUAAUACCGCAUACGAUCUAUGGAUGAAAGCGGGGGACCGUAAGGCCUCGCGCGAUUGGAGCGGCCGAUGUCAGAUUAGGUAGUUGGUGGGGUAAAGGCUCACCAAGCCAACGAUCUGUAGCUGGUCUGAGAGGACGACCAGCCACACUGGGACUGAGACACGGCCCAGACUCCUACGGGAGGCAGCAGUGGGGAAUUUUGGACAAUGGGCGCAAGCCUGAUCCAGCAAUGCCGCGUGCAGGAAGAAGGCCUUCGGGUUGUAAACUGCUUUUGUACGGAACGAAACGGCUCUGGUUAAUACCCGGGGCUAAUGACGGUACCGUAAGAAUAAGCACCGGCUAACUACGUG
This 482-nucleotide ribosomal RNA is filed under the name uncultured bacterium. Its description in RNAcentral is "partial 16S ribosomal RNA". It matches the Rfam family "Bacterial small subunit ribosomal RNA", at positions 30 to 507 of the family's 1533-position model. The record is from RNAcentral.